UAUGUGUGUCCAAAUUAUAUGUGUUUCUUUACAUGUAACCUGGCCACACAUAUU
RNAcentral lists this microRNA precursor (54 nucleotides) under Sarcophilus harrisii (Tasmanian devil). Its description in RNAcentral is "Sha-Mir-7394-P1_pre stem-loop". Lineage: Eukaryota; Metazoa; Chordata; Mammalia; Dasyuromorphia; Dasyuridae. The record is from RNAcentral.